Molecule: small nuclear RNA, 105 nt
Filed under: Phytophthora infestans T30-4
Lineage: Eukaryota; Oomycota; Peronosporomycetes; Peronosporales; Peronosporaceae
Source: RNAcentral
AACCACUUCGGUGGUCAUCCGUAAAAAUUGGAACGAUACAGAGAAGUUUAGCAUGGCCCCUGCGCAAGGAUGACACGCAUAAAUCGAGAAGUAUCGCACUUUUUG